GACGAGCGCUGGCGGCGUGCUUAACACAUGCAAGUCGAACGAUGAAGCCUUAGCUUGCUUUGGUGGAUUAGUGGCGAACGGGUGAGUAACACGUGAGCAACGUGCCCAGGACUCUGGAAUAACCGCGGGAAACCGUGGCUAAUACCGGAUAGGUGCCGAGGCCGCAUGGUCUUCGGUUGGAAAGUUUUUGCGGUUCUGGAUCGGCUCACGGCCUAUCAGCUUGUUGGUGGGGUAAUGGCCUACCAAGGCGACGACGGGUAGCCGGCCUGAGAGGGUGACCGGCCACACUGGGACUGAGACACGGCCCAGACUCCUACGGGAGGCAGCAGUGGGGAAUAUUGCACAAUGGGCGCAAGCCUGAUGCAGCAACGCCGCGUGGGGGAUGACGGCCUUCGGGUUGUAAACCUCUUUUAGUAGGGAAGAAGCGCAAGUGACGGUACCUGCAGAAAAAGCACCGGCUAACUACGUG
This 469-nucleotide ribosomal RNA is filed under the name uncultured bacterium. RNAcentral's name for it is "partial 16S ribosomal RNA". It matches the Rfam family "Bacterial small subunit ribosomal RNA", at positions 28 to 507 of the family's 1533-position model. The record is from RNAcentral.